ACGUAGGGUGCAAGCGUUGUCCGGAUUUACUGGGCGUAAAGCGCUCGUAGGCGGUUUGUCAAGUGUGAAGUGAAAUCUCCAGGGCUCAACCCGGAAACUGCUUCGCAGACUGGCAGACUUGAGUGACUCAGAGGUGGAUAGAAUUCCUGGUGUAGCGGUGAAAUGCGUUGAUAUCAGGAGGAAUACCGACGGCGAAGGCAGUCCACUGGGAGUCUACUGACGCUGAGGAGCGAAAGCGUGGGUAGCAAACAG
This 252-nucleotide ribosomal RNA is filed under the name uncultured prokaryote. RNAcentral's name for it is "partial 16S ribosomal RNA". It matches the Rfam family "Bacterial small subunit ribosomal RNA", at positions 525 to 775 of the family's 1533-position model. The record is from RNAcentral.